Molecule: ribosomal RNA, 424 nt
Filed under: uncultured bacterium
Lineage: Bacteria
Description: partial 16S ribosomal RNA
Rfam family: Bacterial small subunit ribosomal RNA
Source: RNAcentral
AAUUUUGGACAAUGGUCGCAAGCCAGAUCCAGCCAUGCCGCGUUAGUGCAGAAGGCCUUCGGGUUGUAAAGCUCUUUCGGACGGAAAGAAAUCGCGCAGGCUAAUACCCUGCGCGGCUCACGGUACCGUCAUAAGAAGCACCCGCUCACUACGUUCCAGCCGCCGCGGUAAUACGUAUGGUGCGAGCGUUAAUCGGAAUUACUGGGCGUAAAGCGUGCGCAGGCGGGUGAUUAAGACAGGCGUGAAAUCCCCGGGCUUAACCUGGGAACUGCGCUUGUGACUGGUCAGCUAGAGUACGGCAGAGGGGGGUGGAAUGCCACGUGUAGCAGUGAAAUGCGUAGAGAUGUGGAGGAACACCGAUGGCGAAGGCAGCCCCCUGGGCCGAUACUGACGCUCAUGCACGAAAGCGUGGGUAGCAAACAGG